CUACGGGUCGCUCCAGUGGGGAAUAUUGCACAAUGGGGGGAACCCUGAUGCAGCAACGCCGCGUGGAGGAUGACGCAUUUCGGUGUGUAAACUCCUUUUAUAUGUCAAGAAAAUGACGGUAGCAUAUGAAUAAGCACUGGCUAACUCCGUGCCAGCAGCCGCGGUAAUACGGAGGGUGCAAGCGUUACUCGGAAUCACUGGGCGUAAAGGACGCGUAGGCGGGUUGGAAAGUCAGGUGUGAAAUCCUACAGCUUAACUGUAGAACUGCACUUGAAACUUCUAAUCUAGAGUAUGGGAGGGGGAGAUGGAAUUAGUGGUGUAGGGGUAAAAUCCGUAGAUAUCACUAGGAAUACCUAAAGCGAAGGCGAUCUCCUGGAACAUUACUGACGCUAAGGCGUGAAAGCGUGGGGAGCAAACAGGAUUAGAUACCCUUGUAGUC
RNAcentral lists this ribosomal RNA (439 nucleotides) under uncultured bacterium. RNAcentral's name for it is "partial 16S ribosomal RNA". It matches the Rfam family "Bacterial small subunit ribosomal RNA", at positions 339 to 795 of the family's 1533-position model. The record is from RNAcentral.